Molecule: long non-coding RNA, 593 nt
Organism: Medicago truncatula (barrel medic)
Lineage: Eukaryota; Viridiplantae; Streptophyta; Magnoliopsida; Fabales; Fabaceae
Exons: 2
Source: RefSeq, a predicted model, not a curated record
CAAAAGAUAAUAGAGCUUUAAGAUACAAUCUUCACAAGAAAUGGCAAAAUAUAUUUCUCAAUAUUUUCUCUUGGGACUUUUAUGCAUUGCGUUGGUUCUGGCUUCGGCAGGUCCAACACCCAGUUUGAGCAAUGAUCCACAUAUUGAUCAAACUGACAGACCAUGCAUUGCUGCUUAUCAUUGUUCUGAGAAUGGAAAUUGCGACAAGUUGUGCCGUGAGAUCGGAUAUAAAGGAGGAGACUGUAAUCCAGGGUAUUGUUGCUGUGAUGUAUAAUCAGAAUUGAAUUACAUGAUUAUAAAUAUUUAUGUGUUUUACUAAUUAUCGAAUAAACAAUCAUAUCAAGAAGAUGAUUGAAUAAACUAAAUAAGAAACAUCAUCCUCAAAACUUUUAUUUUCACGUUGAAGAAGGUUAUAUAUAUCAAGUAUACAUGUUCAUCUCAACAAAAGCAAAAAGUGGACUACAUGAAAGCAGUGACCAAACCCAAUGUGAAAUAAAGAAAGCAAGAGGUAUAGACAAGUUACUGUUUUGAUGUUGCAAAUGUACACUUUUUUAAAUAAAUAAUCCCCAAUAUUGCUUUUAGCGGCAUCAAAA